RNAcentral lists this ribosomal RNA (530 nucleotides) under uncultured bacterium. Its description in RNAcentral is "bacterial SSU rRNA". It matches the Rfam family "Bacterial small subunit ribosomal RNA", at positions 777 to 1304 of the family's 1533-position model. The record is from RNAcentral.
AAUAGAUACCCCGGUAGUCCACGCCGUAAACGAUGAGUGCUAAGUGUUAGAGGGUUUCCGCCCGUUUAGUGCUGCAGCUAACGCAUUAAGCACUCCGCCUGGGGAGUACGGUCGCAAGACUGAAACUCAAAGGAAUUGACGGGGGCCCGCACAAGCGGUGGAGCAUGUGGUUUAAUUCGAAGCAACGCGAAGAACCUUACCAGGUCUUGACAUCCCACUGACCGGUAUAGAGAUAUACCUUUCCCUUCGGGGACAGUGGUGACAGGUGGUGCAUGGUUGUCGUCAGCUCGUGUCGUGAGAUGUUGGGUUAAGUCCCGCAACGAGCGCAACCCUUGAUCUUAGUUGCCAGCAUUUAGUUGGGCACUCUAAGGUGACUGCCGGUGACAAACCGGAGGAAGGUGGGGAUGACGUCAAAUCAUCAUGCCCCUUAUGACCUGGGCUACACACGUGCUACAAUGGAUGGUACAAAGGGCUGCAAGACUGCGAAGUCAAGCCAAUCCCAUAAAACCAUUCUCAGUUCGGAUUGCAGG